UACGUAGGGUGCAAGCGUUGUCCGGAAUUAUUGGGCGUAAAGAGCUCGUAGGUGGCCUGUCGCGUCGGCUGUGAAAACUCGGGGCUUAACUCCGAGCUUGCAGUCGAUACGGGCAGGCUAGAGUUCGGCAGGGGAGACUGGAAUUCCUGGUGUAGCGGUGAAAUGCGCAGAUAUCAGGAGGAACACCGGUGGCGAAGGCGGGUCUCUGGGCCGAUACUGACGCUGAGGAGCGAAAGCGUGGGGAGCGAACAGG
Molecule: ribosomal RNA, 253 nt
Filed under: uncultured bacterium
Lineage: Bacteria
Description: partial 16S ribosomal RNA
Rfam family: Bacterial small subunit ribosomal RNA
Source: RNAcentral